UACAGAGGUCUCAAGCGUUGUUCGGAUUCAUUGGGCGUAAAGGGUGCGUAGGCGGCGCGGUAAGUCGGGUGUGAAAUCUUGGAGCUUAACUCCGAAACUGCAUUCGAUACUGCCGUGCUUGAGGACUGGAGAGGAGACUGGAAUUUACGGUGUAGCGGUGAAAUGCGUAGAUAUCGUAAGGAAGACCAGGGGCGAAGGCGGGUCUCUGGACAGAUCCGGACGCUGAGGCACGAAGGCCGGGGGAGCAAAUGGG
This 253-nucleotide ribosomal RNA is filed under the name uncultured bacterium. RNAcentral's name for it is "partial 16S ribosomal RNA". It matches the Rfam family "Bacterial small subunit ribosomal RNA", at positions 524 to 776 of the family's 1533-position model. The record is from RNAcentral.